Molecule: ribosomal RNA, 253 nt
Filed under: uncultured bacterium
Lineage: Bacteria
Description: partial 16S ribosomal RNA
Rfam family: Bacterial small subunit ribosomal RNA
Source: RNAcentral
UACAGAGGGGGCAAGCGUUGUUCGGAAUUACUGGGCGUAAAGGGCGCGUAGGCGGCCUUUCAAGUCAGACGUGAAAUCCCCCGGCUUAACCUGGGAACUGCGUCUGAUACUGGGAGGCUCGAGUAUGGGAGAGGGAUGUAGAAUUCCAGGUGUAGCGGUGAAAUGCGUAGAGAUCUGGUGGAAUACCGGUGGCGAAGGCGGCAUCCUGGACCAUAACUGACGCUGAGGCGCGAAAGAUAGGGGAGCAAACGGG